Molecule: long non-coding RNA, 167 nt
Organism: Hippocampus comes (tiger tail seahorse)
Lineage: Eukaryota; Metazoa; Chordata; Actinopteri; Syngnathiformes; Syngnathidae
Exons: 2
Source: RefSeq, a predicted model, not a curated record
CAAGUCCUGCGGCGUGCCGUCCUCUGGGGUGCGGCACGGAGGUACAACAAUCGGCUGUGUGUCAACUCCCGAUUUAUGUGUGUGUGUGUGUGUGUGUGUGUCUGUGCUAUGGGAAAUCUUUCAAUUUUACUGAAAUCGUGCAAAUUUUGAGAAUAGUGUAACUUGAU